GAAAAAAGCAACAGAACUAAUACAAUUUAUCUCUCCGAGUUAAGCAAGACAAAUGUUCUCCCGAGAAAGGCUGAGCUUUCUGAGGACGUGCACGCUUGUGGGGGUAUUUUAGGUACCAAACUCAACCCAUGUGGCAGCCUGCCCUCUUUAAGGAUGCUGACUGUGCACAAAUGGCUGCUCCCUUUUUAGGAGCUUCAGGCAGAACCUUCCUGAUGCAUUGAAAAAAGGAAAAUACUUGACAAGAUGUAGGAUGACAGUCAGUUCAUCUUCUGCAGCAACACUGUUUUGUGCACCUCUGAGAAAUCCCCGCGAUGCUGCUGUUCUGUCCUCCUUGUCUCGAGUGCCGUUGCUGGUGGUUGCACACUGUUGGAAAGUGCUGUCAGUCUUGGUUCUCACGUCUCAGCUUCAAUUAAUUUUCGCAGUAAAUGAGAAUCAUUGUCCUGCUUCUGGGAGGCUCCAGGCUGAGCUCCAUGUGACCUAGAGCUCCUGAUCUGUGAAAGAUGUCUGGAUUUUCCCUCCAGUCCAGGAAUCUGCAGCUGUAAAACGAAUUUUUAAAAGUGAUUUAUUUCCAACCACCUGCUUGCUAAUGCCAUUUUAGCACCCACAGGAAGCUACUGGAGAUGCUGGCAUAUAGAUCUGGUUUGUACCACGGUGUCAGGUCAAACAAGGAACCGCCACAGUGUUUCAGCCUUUUUCCUGGCCAGCGAAGGAAAACUGCUGCUUCCACUAAUGUCUGGGUGAUUUUACCUCCGGCAUCUAUCUUGAAAGCUGUCUGCAGAAGCAAUAGUGGAGGAAAAUUAAGGAUAUUGUCAUUCCUGAGUCUACAUUUGGGUUUUCAGAUUAGCAAGUAUUUAAACUAGCAGUGUUUCGCAGAUAAUGAGGGAUAGCACUUAUAAUUAGCAUUUCACUUCAUAACAAGUGAUGAGCUACGUGCCCAAUGUUCCCAGAGUUCAGAGAAACUUCAAGUUCCAGCCUGGCAAGUCGAUAUCUCCAACAGAUUAAGAAAAGCAUGCCAGCUGGCAAUUAGAGCUUCGGGCCCUGGUCACAGCAACAUCUGCUCUCCUUACCGUGUGCUUCAGUUCUCACGUAAUGGUGCGUGGCUUUCUCUCAGUUCAGAAAUCAUUCAAGCGUGUAACAGAUAGAAAUCAGUGCGUUGGAACCUCCUGCGUAGGCUGAUACCUUGUCAAGAAGUCGUCGAGUCACUUCUUCAAGUCACUGAAGAUUUCUUUCCUGAUGAUGGUCCCGACGGUGACUAAAUCACGCAGCAUCUUUUCAGUUGUCUGUCCUUAGCAGUGAGAAGCAGAACACAGAAACGGAGCCACAGGAAAGCGUGUGCUUUGUCUGCUGUUCCCUAUUUCACGCAUCCUGUUGCUAAUUUUAUUGUCAGUAUGAGUGAACUGCUGUUACUGCUGGAUUUGGGGUUUUUUUUUUGUUUGCUUGUUUUGUCUUGUUUUAAAAUCUGUUCAUUGCUGCACCUUGCUGUAAGAUUUAGGAGAAAACAGUACUUUAGGUGCUGUAGAUGUGGAUAAAAUUACGCUAAAAGCGCCAAUAAAAGUUCCUACUAAUACAGUUAGGAAGAUAUGUAUCAAUACUAAAAGUGAUGGAUAAUAACAUUAUACUUCAAAUAUAUCAAAGUUUAAUUCCUUGAUUUUGCUGCUUAAAUAACGUCACCUGACUUAUCAAGAAAUCAAAGAGUCUUUAUUUCCUCGCUCAAGGAAACUCAAGAUUUCACAGUCUUGAAAGUGUUCAGGGCCAGGCUGGAUGGGGCUUUGAGCAGCCUGGUCUGGUGGGAGGUGUCCCUGCCCAGGGCAGGGGGGUUGGAACGAGAUGGUCUUUAAGGUCCUUUCCAACCCAAACCAUUCUGUGAUUCUAUGAUUCUAUAGGCUCGCAUAUUAGCGCUGCAGAAAGCAGCAUCACUUUUGUAGCAACUUUCCAGGCAAGCCUUGAGGAACUGGUUCAACCCUAUUUUUGACCUCGUCACUUUCCCACUGGUUGUCCCACAUCUCUUCCAGAACUACGUUGCUUCUUUCAGAUUUAGGUUUUGGUUUGUUUUUUUUUCAACAGUUCCAUUAUUAGUGUGGAAAUCGGCUAAAAUGAAUAAGACCGUGCAAGCAGGCAUCUCUUCCUGUUUUGCCACGAGCCACACAGCCCUCCUUCUUCUAGAAUAGGAAUGAGAAGGCUUAUCGUGAGAAACUUGUUCAAUGGAGAGUUAGCAAAUUUUCUAUUCCUUACUAUAAUUCAUACAGGCAGUAAUUACAACUGUCCAUCGUUUACACAGUGCUUGUGAAAUCACUCCUCGUGAUUUCAGAGUAGCGCUUAGAUAGCAGUGGAAUUUCAGGGAAGAUGUAAACAAAUCCUCCAAGCGGGCUUACAGUUGUAUGACCUUCGAGGACUUUGCCUUCUGCUGACCUUAAACUCAUCAACCCUAAAGGGGUAACUGCAGAGGACACUGGCAAAUCUGGUGGCAUCGGACUUUUACAGGUAGCGUCACUACUAGUCGCUGAGGAAUUAAGUAAUCCAGUCGGCUCACUCAACCUUGUCUUUCAUUGCCAUUUGUAGUGAAUUGGGGCUUUAUGGCACUAAAUCGCUGGCAGAAGUCGAAAAGUUUAAGUUUGCAUUAAGGCUUUAGGGCAACACAGAGAAAACAGGAAUAAAAUAAAAUUCUUGAAACUGCAAUGGUUUAAUGUAUCCCUAAAAUCAAAACACAAUGAAACAAACAUUAAAUAAUUCUGGAUGGAGGAUGCAUCUGGGGAAGCAUUUUAGAUUUUAGCAUUUUUCUUAUUAAAAAAAAUGCAAAAACAAAACUAGAGAGAGGCAGUGUAUUCCUACGUAUGUGACUGCUGUGGUCAGCACUGGGGGAAACCAGUAUGAACGAUAUUUCAGUGGAAGAUGGCUGGAAAAACAGCUCUUCCCUUGCAGAUUUCAACUUGUGCUUGUCUUUAGGCAGUAACCGAGACCAGGGAACUUGUACUACUUUGUCCUGGGCUGACAUGGUUGCCCAUGUAACCUCACCAGCAUCCUUUGAAGUAAUCAGCAGCCUAGCCGAGGCUGCUCAGCUUAUACGUGAAGGUACGUGUAUAGAGCUAGCAUAUAUAUCUACUCUUUCCCCAUGGAACAGCCCUGAGUACACGCUGCAAGGAAAACGGGGCUCACUCAACACAGGGAUGAAUGCGAUAUGGAUGAUAGACUAGGUUAAUAUAGAUAGAGACAAUAUUUGUUGCUGGCAGGCUAAGUAGCAAAUGGAAUUAGAAACACCUAUAUGUCACGUACACGCAUCUCUCCUCAGAUUGUUGUUCUGCUGAUAGAAACUGCUUGUAUUUGAGAUGGGGUGCAGA
Molecule: long non-coding RNA, 3335 nt
Organism: Chroicocephalus ridibundus (black-headed gull)
Lineage: Eukaryota; Metazoa; Chordata; Aves; Charadriiformes; Laridae
Exons: 3
Source: RefSeq, a predicted model, not a curated record